CCGAUUUGAAUCACUACAUAAUUAAAAACAUUAAAUAAGUCUUUGAAUCACUACAUAAUUAAAAAUAUUACAUAAGUAUAUGAAUCACUGCAUAAUUAAAAACAUUACAUAAGUCUUUGAAUCACUACAUAAUUAAAAACAUUACAUAAAUCUUGAAAUUAACACAUAAUUGAAAUGUAAGUCUUUAAUAUUUUCCAUUUGUAUCCAUUUCUUCUCUCCAAAAGAUCUCCAUUUGCAUUAAAUCUACAAAAAAAAAAAAAACAUGUGCAACAAUUUAGCAAAUAAUAGAAAUAUAUGCAUUUAAAAAAAAUAAGGUUCCAGCAUAUGCUUUGCGGCAUUCCCAUUGCUAAGAAAUGCAACAAUCUGGAAUAUAAAUUGAAUUUCAUUCAAUUAAAUCUUAACCUCAUGGUUCCAUAACAAAGCAACUAUACAGUGGAAACGUAUUUAUCCUACAAAUACCUUUAAACAAUCCAAUCAAAGAAACACAACAAAUUUGUUCAAACAGUUUCAGAGAAUAGUGAAGAGACUGAUUUUGUUAACAAAUAAAAGGAAUUAAUAAUAUAAAUCUCAAAUUUAGGAUUUAUUGAUACUCAAAAUAUCAAAGAAACAAACGACUUAAUCUAAAUUUUGAGUAACUCCUUAGCAUUUAAACUAAACAACAUGAUAUUUGUUUUCAUCGCGAGAGAUAAAUAUUUGAUUCUCGUAUUUAAAAAUAAUCUUAUUUAACUCAACAAAUCAACCCAUACAAGAGAUUCUUCAUCUCAACAUCAAUGCAGUGAGUAAGAGUUAAGGAAGUUUAUGUAAACCAGUACAGCAAAUGUAGAAAAUUAGAUUCAAUCUUCUUUCUUCUGCUUCCAUGAAUAAAUAAAUUCAAUCAAAGCAAUCAAGAUUCCAAGAACUAUAACAGAAAAUCAUUACAAAUCAAGAUUAACUUCUUCAAGAGAACAAAAAUCGAACAUUGAAAUACGUAUACAUAUCACUCGGAAAACAUGCAAAAAUAAAGAUUAAAAAGAAAUCACUAAUCAAGAAGGCCAUGAAAGAAGAACAUAUCUUCGUAAUAAAUCAAAAUCGCAAAGACAGUUGGAAAGAAAAGAGAACGAAAUAGCGAUGCCUAUGAGUGAGAACUCAGAAGAGAAUUUUCUUGAGAAAGAUGAGUUGAAAGUAAAAACCACACAAAAAAAAGUAAUCAACGGGUAACAGAGCUGCUUGCCUACUUCCGUGCUUCGACGACAACACCAGCGGGCAGCGGCCAGCCGUAGCUCCAGCCUCCAGCUAUGAUACUUUUGAAGGUUUUGGGAGAUUUUGAAGAUUUUAAAGGUUUUGAGAGAUUUGAAAUUUUCAAUUAGGGGUCUGAAACUUGAAAAGUUAGGUUUUUUUUUUUCUGUCGUGUGUGUGAGUGUGAGGGUGAGACUGAGUAGUGAGUAGGGGUGGGUGUUUUAGUUUUACCAAAAUUUUACAUUUAGAUUUU
Molecule: long non-coding RNA, 1468 nt
Filed under: Gossypium barbadense (sea-island cotton)
Lineage: Eukaryota; Viridiplantae; Streptophyta; Magnoliopsida; Malvales; Malvaceae
Description: long non-coding RNA (GBAR_LNC004112)
Source: RNAcentral